Long non-coding RNA from Centruroides sculpturatus (bark scorpion), 625 nucleotides. RefSeq lists it as uncharacterized. The transcript has 5 exons. The record is from RefSeq and is a predicted model, not a curated record. Lineage: Eukaryota; Metazoa; Arthropoda; Arachnida; Scorpiones; Buthidae.
AGAAAAUAUUAAUGAACUGACUGCAAAAUGGAAAGAGUUGCAUCAUAAAUAUAUUCUUGUAGAUAAAUAUUACAAACAUAUAGAUAAUAAAAUUAGAAGUUACCAAAAAUUAGAUGAUGAACUUUGCAAAAAGAUUUCAAGUUUGAGAAAUAAAGCAAGAAGUAAUUACUCAGCUAUUGAAUCUGAAAAACAAGAAUUUAGUGAAAAAGAAGAUAAUGUGACUGUGAAGUCUACAGUUGAUUUUAUUGAAAAUUAUCUAAUAAAUUCUAUUAGAACAGAAUCAGAUAAUGAAUCUACAAAACAGGUGAAAGAUUAAUCCAUAUAAAGAAAUAUUUAGAAUCUGAGAAAUUGAAUAUAGAUUGCUUGAAGUUUGAAGAACAGUUUUCUGCUUUAGAAGCUGUAAUGGAAUCUGAACUGAGGAAGCAUAAUUUAGAAAGACCAAUAGAUAUUGAAUUAAUAAAAGAAGUCUUAAAGCAAGAAGCAGAACUGGUUGGUUGUACAAAAUCAUUAGAAGUACUUAAAAAUUCUGUUAGUGAAUUAGAAAAAGAUAGUCAAUAUUUGGAAAAAAAGAAAGAAAAUUUAAUAACCAAAUAUGAAAAAAUUCAGAAUUUCCAUAAAAUUGUGG